GUGAAUCAUCGAAUUUUUGAACGCAAAUUGCACUCUCUUCGGAGAGUAUGACUGUUCGUGGGUCAGUAUUAAUAAAAAUCGGCGUGUUGCUUUUUUGUGACGUUUCGGAGUUUGGGUCAUCUUAUAAUAAUACCCUUUCAGGUUAUUUUUAAGAGGCUUAAAAUUGACCUUUUUUGUGUAUUUUAGACGCACAUAAAUUUUUUUUAUUCGUUUAUUUUCAUGCUAAAUCUCUAUUAGAUGCGACCAUAUCGUGUGGUUUCGUGUCAAUUAAUUUUUCAUGAUUUCAC
RNAcentral lists this unclassified non-coding RNA (287 nucleotides) under Rhizophagus sp. (in: glomeromycetes). RNAcentral's name for it is "Rhizophagus sp. (in: Fungi) partial contains 5.8S ribosomal RNA and internal transcribed spacer 2". The stretch from base 1 to 65 matches the Rfam family "5.8S ribosomal RNA", at positions 84 to 154 of the family's 154-position model. The record is from RNAcentral. Lineage: Eukaryota; Fungi; Glomeromycota; Glomeromycetes; Glomerales; Glomeraceae.